GGUUAAGCGACUAAGCGUACACGGUGGAUGCCUAGGCAGUCAGAGGCGAUGAAGGGCGUGCUAAUCUGCGAAAAGCGUCGGUAAGCUGAUAUGAAGCGUUAUAACCGACGAUACCCGAAUGGGGAAACCCAGUGCAAUACGUUGCACUAUCGUUAGAUGAAUACAUAGUCUAACGAGGCGAACCGGGGGAACUGAAACAUCUAAGUACCCCGAGGAAAAGAAAUCAACCGAGAUUCCCCCAGUAGCGGCGAGCGAACGGGGAGGAGCCCAGAGUCUGAAUCAGUUUGUGUGUUAGUGGAAGCGUCUGGAAAGUCGCACGGUACAGGGUGAUAGUCCCGUACACCAAAAUGCACAGGCUGUGAACUCGAUGAGUAGGGCGGGACACGUGACAUCCUGUCUGAAUAUGGGGGGACCAUCCUCCAAGGCUAAAUACUCCUGACUGACCGAUAGUGAACCAGUACCGUGAGGGAAAGGCGAAAAGAACCCCGGCGAGGGGAGUGAAAUAGAACCUGAAACCGUGUACGUACAAGCAGUGGGAGCACCUUCGUGGUGUGACUGCGUACCUUUUGUAUAAUGGGUCAGCGACUUAUAUUUUGUAGCAAGGUUAACCGAAUAGGGGAGCCGUAGGGAAACCGAGUCUUAACUGGGCGUCUAGUUGCAAGGUAUAGACCCGAAACCCGGUGAUCUAGCCAUGGGCAGGUUGAAGGUUGGGUAACACUAACUGGAGGACCGAACCGACUAAUGUUGAAAAAUUAGCGGAUGACUUGUGGCUGGGGGUGAAAGGCCAAUCAAACCGGGAGAUAGCUGGUUCUCCCCGAAAGCUAUUUAGGUAGCGCCUCGUGAACUCAUCUUCGGGGGUAGAGCACUGUUUCGGCUAGGGGGCCAUCCCGGCUUACCAAACCGAUGCAAACUCCGAAUACCGAAGAAUGUUAUCACGGGAGACACACGGCGGGUGCUAACGUCCGUCGUGAAGAGGGAAACAACCCAGACCGCCAGCUAAGGUCCCAAAGUCAUGGUUAAGUGGGAAACGAUGUGGGAAGGCACAGACAGCCAGGAUGUUGGCUUAGAAGCAGCCAUCAUUUAAAGAAAGCGUAAUAGCUCACUGGUCGAGUCGGCCUGCGCGGAAGAUGUAACGGGGCUAAACCAUGCACCGAAGCUGCGGCAGCGACACUUAGGUGUUGUUGGGUAGGGGAGCGUUCUGUAAGCCGUUGAAGGUGACCUGUGAGGGUUGCUGGAGGUAUCAGAAGUGCGAAUGCUGACAUAAGUAACGAUAAUGCGGGUGAAAAACCCGCACGCCGGAAGACCAAGGGUUCCUGUCCAACGUUAAUCGGGGCAGGGUGAGUCGACCCCUAAGGCGAGGCUGAAAAGCGUAGUCGAUGGGAAACAGGUUAAUAUUCCUGUACUUGGUGUUACUGCGAAGGGGGGACGGAGAAGGCUAGGCUGGCCGGGCGACGGUUGUCCCGGUUUAAGCGUGUAGGGGGAGUGACCAGGUAAAUCCGGUUGCUUAUCAACCCUGAGGCGUGAUGACGAUGCACUACGGUGCAGAAGCAGUUGAUGCCAUGCUUCCAGGAAAAGCCUCUAAGCAUCAGGUAACAUUAAAUCGUACCCCAAACCGACACAGGUGGUCAGGUAGAGAAUACUCAGGCGCUUGAGAGAACUCGGGUGAAGGAACUAGGCAAAAUGGUGCCGUAACUUCGGGAGAAGGCACGCUGGCGUUAGGUGAAAGGACUAGCUCCUGGAGCUGAAGCCAGUCGCAGAUACCAGCUGGCUGCAACUGUUUAAUAAAAACACAGCACUGUGCAAACACGAAAGUGGACGUAUACGGUGUGACGCCUGCCCGGUGCUGGAAGGUUAAUUGAUGGGGUCAGCCGCAAGGCGAAGCUCUUGAUCGAAGCCCCAGUAAACGGCGGCCGUAACUAUAACGGUCCUAAGGUAGCGAAAUUCCUUGUCGGGUAAGUUCCGACCUGCACGAAUGGCGUAAUGAUGGCCAGGCUGUCUCCACCCGAGACUCAGUGAAAUUGAACUCGCUGUGAAGAUGCAGUGUACCCGCGGCAAGACGGAAAGACCCCGUGAACCUUUACUAUAGCUUGACACUGAACAUUGAGCCUUGAUGUGUAGGAUAGGUGGGAGGCCUUGAAGUGUGGACGCCAGUCUGCAUGGAGCCAACCUUGAAAUACCACCCUUUAAUGUUUGAUGUUCUAACUCGGCCCCAUGAUCUGGGGUGAGGACAGUGUCUGGUGGGUAGUUUGACUGGGGCGGUCUCCUCCCAAAGAGUAACGGAGGAGCACGAAGGUUAGCUAAUCACGGUCGGACAUCGUGAGGUUAGUGCAAAGGCAUAAGCUAGCUUGACUGCGAGAGUGACGGCUCGAGCAGGUACGAAAGUAGGUCUUAGUGAUCCGGUGGUUCUGAAUGGAAGGGCCAUCGCUCAACGGAUAAAAGGUACUCCGGGGAUAACAGGCUGAUACCGCCCAAGAGUUCAUAUCGACGGCGGUGUUUGGCACCUCGAUGUCGGCUCAUCACAUCCUGGGGCUGAAGUAGGUCCCAAGGGUAUGGCUGUUCGCCAUUUAAAGUGGUACGCGAGCUGGGUUUAGAACGUCGUGAGACAGUUCGGUCCCUAUCUGCCGUGGGCGUUGGAAGAUUGAGAGGGGCUGCUCCUAGUACGAGAGGACCGGAGUGGACGAAUCACUGGUGUUCGGGUUGUCAUGCCAAUGGCAUUGCCCGGUAGCUAAAUUCGGAAGAGAUAACCGCUGAAAGCAUCUAAGCGGGAAACUUGCCUCGAGAUGAGUCUUCCCUGGGGCUUAAAGCCCCCUGAAGGAACGUUAAAGACUAUGACGUUGAUAGGCUGGGUGUGUAAGUGCAGCGAUGUAUUGAGCUAACCAGUACUAAUGAUCCGUGAGGCUUAACCUU
RNAcentral lists this ribosomal RNA (2907 nucleotides) under Yersinia pseudotuberculosis. RNAcentral describes it as "23S ribosomal RNA". It matches the Rfam family "Bacterial large subunit ribosomal RNA". Lineage: Bacteria; Pseudomonadati; Pseudomonadota; Gammaproteobacteria; Enterobacterales; Yersiniaceae. The record is from RNAcentral. RNAcentral also lists the same sequence under 2 other names.